UACGAAGGGUGCAAGCGUUAAUCGGAAUUACUGGGCGUAAAGCGUGCGUAGGCGGCCUGGCAAGUGGAAGGUGAAAUCCCUCGGCUUAACCGAGGAACUGCCCUCCAAACUGCUUGGCUUGAGUCCGGGAGAGGUGAGUGGAAUUCCCAGUGUAGCGGUGAAAUGCGUAGAUAUUGGGAGGAACACCAGUGGCGAAGGCGGCUCACUGGACCGGAACUGACGCUGAGGCGCGAAAGCGUGGGGAGCAAACGGG
RNAcentral lists this ribosomal RNA (253 nucleotides) under uncultured bacterium. RNAcentral describes it as "partial 16S ribosomal RNA". It matches the Rfam family "Bacterial small subunit ribosomal RNA", at positions 524 to 776 of the family's 1533-position model. The record is from RNAcentral.